CCCUUAGAUGUUCUGGGCCGCACGCGCGCUACACUGAUGCAUUCAACGAGUCUAAAACCUGCUCUGAUAGGGGUGGGUAAUCUUUUGAAUGUGCAUCGUGAUUGGGAUAGAUGAUUGAAAUUUUUCAUCUUCAACGAGGAAUGCCUAGUAAACGCAAGUCAUCAGCUUGCAUUGAUUACGUCCCUGCCCUUUGUACACACCGCCCGUCGCUCCUACCGAUUGAAUGAUCCGAUGAAUAUCAUGGAUUGAGGAUGCAAGUAGGUUCACCUAUCUUCAUCUUCGAGAAGUGAAGUAUAUCUUAUCAUUUAGAGGAAGGAGAAGUCGUAACA
RNAcentral lists this ribosomal RNA (329 nucleotides) under uncultured eukaryote. Its description in RNAcentral is "partial 18S ribosomal RNA". It matches the Rfam family "Eukaryotic small subunit ribosomal RNA", at positions 1470 to 1796 of the family's 1831-position model. The record is from RNAcentral.